RNAcentral lists this ribosomal RNA (145 nucleotides) under Tomentella sp. RNAcentral's name for it is "partial small subunit ribosomal RNA". It matches the Rfam family "Eukaryotic small subunit ribosomal RNA", at positions 1657 to 1799 of the family's 1831-position model. Lineage: Eukaryota; Fungi; Basidiomycota; Agaricomycetes; Thelephorales; Thelephoraceae. The record is from RNAcentral.
CCUUUGUACACACCGCCCGUCGCUACUACCGAUUGAAUGGCUUAGUGAGGUCUUCGGAUUGGCUUCGGAGGGCCGGCAACGGCCCACUGUUGCUGAGAAGUUGAUCAAACUUGGUCAUUUAGAGGAAGUAAAAGUCGUAACAAGG